RNAcentral lists this unclassified non-coding RNA (223 nucleotides) under Hevea brasiliensis (rubber tree). Lineage: Eukaryota; Viridiplantae; Streptophyta; Magnoliopsida; Malpighiales; Euphorbiaceae. The record is from RNAcentral.
GGUGACCAGUUGUAGUGAGAAUGGACAAAUGGGGUUGGAGAAAAGAGUGCGAAUGCUACUAAAAGUGACAGUAGUAGCAUACUUACAAAAUGGAGUGUAUAUGUUCUUCUUCACUAUCAAAGAGAUGAAAAAUUGUUGCUUUGCUUAAACUCUUGAAUCUGAUGAGUUGUUUCACUAUGCAGGGAAUUAUGAGAAAAGGGAAAAUUUGUCACUUUUUGCAGAG